CCUACGGGAGGCAGCAGUGGGGAAUAUUGCACAAUGGGCGCAAGCCUGAUGCAGCCAUGCCGCGUGUGUGAAGAAGGCCUUCGGGUUGUAAAGCACUUUCAGCGGGGAGGAAGGCGGUGAGGUUAAUAACCUCAUCGAUUGACGUUACCCGCAGAAGAAGCACCGGCUAACUCCGUGCCAGCAGCCGCGGUAAUACGGAGGGUGCAAGCGUUAAUCGGAAUUACUGGGCGUAAAGCGCACGCAGGCGGUCUGUCAAGUCGGAUGUGAAAUCCCCGGGCUCAACCUGGGAACUGCAUUCGAAACUGGCAGGCUAGAGUCUUGUAGAGGGGGGUAGAAUUCCAGGUGUAGCGGUGAAAUGCGUAGAGAUCUGGAGGAAUACCGGUGGCGAAGGCGGCUCCCUGGACAAAGACUGACGCUCAGGUGCGAAAGCGUGGGGAGCAAACAGGAUUAGAUACCCCUGUAGUC
Molecule: ribosomal RNA, 465 nt
Filed under: uncultured Klebsiella sp.
Lineage: Bacteria; Pseudomonadati; Pseudomonadota; Gammaproteobacteria; Enterobacterales; Enterobacteriaceae
Description: bacterial SSU rRNA
Rfam family: Bacterial small subunit ribosomal RNA
Source: RNAcentral